Cyanidioschyzon merolae strain 10D is the source of this 1435-nucleotide RNA transcript. RefSeq lists it as hypothetical. Lineage: Eukaryota; Rhodophyta; Bangiophyceae; Cyanidiales; Cyanidiaceae. The record is from RefSeq and is a predicted model, not a curated record. The transcript has a single exon.
GACGGUGGGGUGGCGGCGGUGCUGCAGCGACGGGGAGCACGACACAGGCCUUGUCUACGCUUGCUUGAUGCUUUCAGAGGUUCACAGAACUGGAUAGGUCCAUAGUCGUGGUGUAUAUACGGGGCUUUGUUCUGUGGAGGUACCGACGUUCCCUUUCUGUGAAUCGGCGGGCGUGUAUUCGAUGUGAUCGAAUGUUAGACUACGAGUACGGUUGAAUCCUCGGACAGAGCGAUCGUCUGCGGUGGUUAUGGAUGCGAUUCUUUAGUCGUUCUGGAAUGCGGACUCCUACCAUAUCCAUGACCUACUCUUAAGGGGAGUAUCCAAUCAAUCGACGCUACCCCGGCGGAUGAAUGUUUUCACGACAGGAGUUUUCACGGGUUUCAGCAUGAUUCGCAGACUAAGCACGAAAUCAUAUUUUAGGAGUUUCGCUCUGUACAAAACUGCUGGUCGCUCCGCAAGCACGAAACAUCUCCCGAUAUUCAUAGAGACUCCGAUAUUUCGGUGCAGAACGUGCUCGCACCUGUGGCUGCCAGUGGCAUCAUUCCAAAGCGUGCCUGUCAUUGUCGAUUGCCCCGUUAUCUGAGGUUCAGUCAGCAUCCGCUGUACCAUGAUGUGCUUCGGUCUCUGCUUUUCGCGCGUCUGCUUCGCUGUCCGCUUCACCGGGCACCCUGACUCGUGGAGCGCGUACGUCGACCCAGACGCAUCGCUGGGAAUCGUGCCGCAUCCAUGUGCAUCCACAGUUGUACGCUCUCGUGGAUGGAGCAGGAGUGCAGCCUUGGCAUGCUAUAGCGCAUCGAUUGCUCUGUGGUAUCACGAAACGACACGAUACGAACGAUCGAAGGUUUCCUUCCCCGUCGCAUGAAAAGCGUUGGUGAAUGCACGCUUGUCGCCUGGGUAGCACUGGAACCGGUGGCGACCCAGCGCUGUCUCAUUGACUCUUGCCGGAGAUCGUCCGUACGCGCCAUUUUGGACGUCUCGGGAUGCUCUAGGUGAAGCAUCCGAAGCACUGGUGUCGGCGCGAGACUGUACGCAGAGCGUCGAGCUGCAGGAUGGGUGGCUAGGGGCUAUGGCGCCUCUGCUGCAUCUCCUGGUAUGCCGCAUGGCGUUUAUGACGCUCGACUCUCGAUGACGGUGCGCUCUGGGAAACUCGAGCCGCUUCAUCUGCUUUCACCCAGGAUGCAAGGCUCUGUCCUUUUGAUCAAUACCUAUGGCGACGGGCACGACACGCCCACACAAGUAGGCAUCCAAAGUCUUUCUCCAGUACUACCUCGAAGGGUGGAACGUGAUUCUCGAGUUUCGAGGUAGGCAUAGGUUUCAAAAAGGGCAUGCACAGGGAUAUGAGGUCGCUUUCGAUUUUCGAUGUAAGCAUCUUUCCAUUUCCUCCAUGUACUCGAUAAAUCUUACACAAACUCCGCCGACGCUCUUCUGCCGAGCU